This 471-nucleotide ribosomal RNA is filed under the name uncultured Desulfobulbus sp. Its description in RNAcentral is "bacterial SSU rRNA". It matches the Rfam family "Bacterial small subunit ribosomal RNA", at positions 912 to 1382 of the family's 1533-position model. The record is from RNAcentral. Lineage: Bacteria; Pseudomonadati; Thermodesulfobacteriota; Desulfobulbia; Desulfobulbales; Desulfobulbaceae.
AGACGGGGGCCCGCACAAGCGGUGGAGCAUGUGGUUUAAUUCGAUGCAACGCGAAGAACCUUACCUGGGCUUGACAUCCCGAGAAUCCCCUGGAAACAGGGGAGUGCCCUUCGGGAGCUCGGAGACAGGUGCUGCAUGGCUGUCGUCAGCUCGUGCCGUGAGGUGUCGGGUUAAGUCCCAUAACGAGCGCAACCCUUAUCGUUAGUUGCCAUCUGGUAAUGCAGGGGACUCUAGCGAAACUGCCACCGUAAGGUGAGAGGAAGUGGGAUGACGUCAAAUCAGCACGGCCCUUAUGUCCAGGGCUACACACGUGUUACAAUGGUCGGUACAGAGGGCAGCUACCUGGUGACAGGAUGCUAAUCUCGAAAACCGGUCUCAGUUCGGAUCGAAGUCUGCAACUCGACUUCGUGAAGCUGGAUUCGCUAGUAAUCGCGCAUCAGCUAUGGCGCGGUGAAUACGUUCCCGGGCCUU